GACGAACGCUGGCGGUGUGCUUAACACAUGCAAGUCGAACGGUAAGGCCCUUUCCGGGGUACACGAGUGGCGGACGGGGGCGUAAGACGUGAGUAUGCUGCCCUCAUCUCUGGGAUAACAGUCGGUAACGGUUGCUAAUACUGGUUAUGGGCUUGCAUGUCAUCUGGUGGGUUGGAAAGAUUUUUUUUGGUUGGGGAUGGACUCGCGGCGUAUCCGCUUGUUGGUGGGGUGGUGGCUCACCAAGGCUUCGACGGGUAGCCGGCCUGAGAGGGCGAACGGCCACAUUGGGACUGAGAUACGGGCCACACUCCUACAGGAGGCAGCAGUGGGGAAUAUUGCACAAUGGACGGAAGUCUGAUGCAGCAACGCCGCGUGCGGGAUGACGGCCUUCGGGUUGUAAACCGCUUUCAAUUGGGAAGAAGCUUUUUUGUGACGGUAGCAGUAGAAGAAGCACCGGCUAACUACGUG
RNAcentral lists this ribosomal RNA (468 nucleotides) under uncultured bacterium. Its description in RNAcentral is "partial 16S ribosomal RNA". It matches the Rfam family "Bacterial small subunit ribosomal RNA", at positions 28 to 507 of the family's 1533-position model. The record is from RNAcentral.